This is a small nucleolar RNA of Gossypium arboreum, 107 nucleotides long. It matches the Rfam family "Plant small nucleolar RNA R71". Rfam says of the family: R71 is a member of the C/D box family of snoRNAs containing the C (UGAUGA) and D (CUGA) box motifs. NCBI's taxonomy places the organism in Eukaryota, Viridiplantae, Streptophyta, Magnoliopsida, Malvales, Malvaceae. The record is from Rfam.
AAACUAUGCAUCAGACAUUUUCUAAUUAACUCCUUGAAUUGCUCUCAUGCUUCAUAUAAUGUUUCAUCAUCAUAUUGCAGAAAGGACAUAAUAUCGUUCCUUAGUUU